AGUGAACGCUGGCGGUAUGCCUAACACAUGCAAGUCGAACGGCAGCACAGUAAGAGCUUGCUCUUACGGGUGGCGAGUGGCGGACGGGUGAGGAAUACAUCGGAAUCUACUUUUUCGUGGGGGAUAACGUAGGGAGACUUACGCUAAUACCGCAUACGACCUACGGGUGAAAGCAGGGGAUCUUCGGACCUUGCGCGAUUGAAUGAGCCGAUGUCGGAUUAGCUAGUUGGCGGGGUAAAGGCCCACCAAGGCGACGAUCCGUAGCUGGUCUGAGAGGAUGAUCAGCCACACUGGAACUGAGACACGGUCCAGACUCCUACGGGAGGCAGCAGUGGGGAAUAUUGGACAAUGGGCGCAAGCCUGAUCCAGCCAUACCGCGUGGGUGAAGAAGGCCUUCGGGUUGUAAAGCCCUUUUGUUGGGAAAGAAAAGCAGCAGGUUAAUACCCCGCUGUUCUGACGGUACCCAAAGAAUAAGCACCGGCUAACUUCGUG
Molecule: ribosomal RNA, 492 nt
Filed under: uncultured bacterium
Lineage: Bacteria
Description: partial 16S ribosomal RNA
Rfam family: Bacterial small subunit ribosomal RNA
Source: RNAcentral